Molecule: ribosomal RNA, 255 nt
Filed under: uncultured bacterium
Lineage: Bacteria
Description: partial small subunit ribosomal RNA
Rfam family: Bacterial small subunit ribosomal RNA
Source: RNAcentral
AGGACGAACGCUGGCGGCGUGCUUAACACAUGCAAGUCGAGCGGAAAGGCCCUUCGGGGUACUCGAGCGGCGAACGGGUGAGUAACACGUGGGCAACCUGCCCCUAGCACUGGGAUAACUCCGGGAAACCGGGGCUAAUACCGGAUAUGACCUUUGAGGGCAUCCUCGAAGGUGUAAAGGAUUCUGGCUAGGGAUGGGCCCGCGGCCUAUCAGCUUGUUGGUGGGGUAAUGGCCUACCAAGGCGACGACGGGUAG